UACAGAGGGUGCGAGCGUUAAUCGGAAUUACUGGGCGUAAAGCGCGCGUAGGCGGCUUCGCAAGUCGGGUGUGAAAUCCCCAAGCUCAACUUGGGAACUGCAUUCGAGACUGCGUUGCUAGAGUAUGGGAGAGGGAAGUGGAAUUUCAGGUGUAGCGGUGAAAUGCGUAGAUAUCUGAAGGAACAUCAGUGGCGAAAGCGACUUCCUGGACCAAUACUGACGCUCAUGUGCGAAAGCGUGGGGAGCGAACAGG
Molecule: ribosomal RNA, 253 nt
Filed under: uncultured bacterium
Lineage: Bacteria
Description: partial 16S ribosomal RNA
Rfam family: Bacterial small subunit ribosomal RNA
Source: RNAcentral